GACGAACGCUGGCGGCGUGCUUAACACAUGCAAGUCGAACGAAGAGCGACGGAAGCUUGCUUCUAUCAAUCUUAGUGGCGAACGGGUGGGUAACGCGUAAUCAACCUGCCCUUCAGAGGGGGACAACAGUUGGAAACGACUGCUAAUACCGCAUACGAUCUAACCUCGGCAUCGAGGAUAGAUGAAAGGUGGCCUCUACAUGUAAGCUAUCACUGAAGGAGGGGAUUGCGUCUGAUUAGCUAGUUGGAGGGGUAACGGCCCACCAAGGCGAUGAUCAGUAGCCGGUCUGAGAGGAUGAACGGCCACAUUGGGACUGAGACACGGCCCAGACUCCUACGGGAGGCAGCAGUGGGGAAUCUUCCGCAAUGGACGAAAGUCUGACGGAGCAACGCCGCGUGAGUGAUGACGGCCUUCGGGUUGUAAAGCUCUGUUAAUCGGGACGAAAGGCCUUCUUGCGAAUAGUGAGAAGGAUUGACGGUACCGGAAUAGAAAGCCACGGCUAACUACGUG
This 510-nucleotide ribosomal RNA is filed under the name uncultured bacterium. RNAcentral's name for it is "partial 16S ribosomal RNA". It matches the Rfam family "Bacterial small subunit ribosomal RNA", at positions 28 to 507 of the family's 1533-position model. The record is from RNAcentral.